RNAcentral lists this unclassified non-coding RNA (1275 nucleotides) under Hevea brasiliensis (rubber tree). The record is from RNAcentral. Lineage: Eukaryota; Viridiplantae; Streptophyta; Magnoliopsida; Malpighiales; Euphorbiaceae.
ACUUGCAAUGGAACACGAGCUUCCUACCAGAAAUAAACCUCAAUAUGAAAUCGUGUAGUAAAAAUAUUGCAAGGUAAGUGACUUAUAAAAAGAACACGAGUGGCUUCAGCAAAUUCUAUAUCUAAAUGCAUAACUGUUAAUGAGAACAUGAGUAGUUGCUAAUGAAUAGAAUGAGAGCAUGAGUAGUAGCCAAAGCAACAUAAAAAAUUGCACGUCUGUAUCUGACAUAAAGAAGCACAAAAUUGCCCUCACUAUUCAGUCAAAAUCUAGCCACCGUAAAAACAAUGUAACUUGAUAACAAAGGCAUAUGCCAUAAAUAAAAGCAUUCAGGGAGUCAUUGAAAACGAGUGAACUGCCAGAGCUCCACAGUGGAUGGUUAUUGUCACCAACAAGGAAACAGGUUCCAUUAGUGUGAUUCUUUUAAGAUAUAAGACAACAAAAGAGACUGACAAAUGGUCGUGAAGGCAAAAGGAAACAGUUCAAAGGAAAAUUUUCCCAUGCAUAAAGCCAAAUCUCAAGUUCUAAACAUUUUUUUAGGCUAAUUACUUUCAGAGAGGAAAGAAGGAAAUACUUACUUUUUUUUUUCUUUUAAAAUUACACCUCUUACUACUUUUUAGAAAGUUUGAAGGGACUACAACAGGAGGGCAGUUGGGGAUAAGGAAAGAUCUCCUUUACUCUUACUGAUAUUUUAGGACUCUCAAACUUUGAUGAGAAAUAUCGUUGCUUGAGAAUUUUAUGCUAUAGACUUAGUUGCAGCCCCAUGAAGCCCUUUACUGUUUUUUUUACUCAUCCAGGAAAAAUAGGGGAGAGGCUAAAAAAAUAAAAAUAAUGGGAAAAGCCCAAUCUUAAAUAGACACCACAAAGAGAAUGUAUUAUAUGGUACAAUAUAUAAGCUAAUUUACCAAUUAAUCAUAGCAUAAAUAUCAUGUGAAUUAUCCAAAUACCUGGCAUUGCACUUGCCAUUACUUUAAAUAGUUGUAUUUCUUAGACAAACAGAUUAGGCAUUUUAUUGAGACAAUGAUAAAAAUCAAUUUAUGAAAAUGACUAAUUAAUGUCGCCUGCCAUCACUACAUGAACAACAGGAAAGAGUAUGAUCAUUUGAAGCUCAUAAACCAAGAAAGACUAAUGCACGAUCCAAAAUGUAAGACAUUAAACUAAGUAAACUUACAUUUAUCAACUGUAAAGUGGGAUGAAGUACAAAUAAUUUUGAUGGCAUAACAGCAGGGGAUGGUGCAAGAAUGAUCUUCAUGGAUGUCAGAGAGAGAGAGAGAGAGA